GAAACGAUGUCUAUGGAUAGCUGGUGUAAAACUUCAGGUAAGUGUAUAAUGUAUUAUACACGUAGGUAAUUUAUAAUAUAAUUCUAUUAUAUUAUGAAAUGGAAACAAAAAUCACAUUAGAAGUUUUUAUUAUCAAAGAUUUUUUUUUUUGAUUUUUUAUUAAAUAUAUAUAAAUCUUUCAUUUCUCAGUGAAUGGAACAUAAAUCUUGUUAAAACACUCUAAGAAUUCGAUUUAAUUUAAGCCUAUGUAACAGCGUAUUUGGCCCGACCCUGGAUGCCGCAUUUAAAAGGGGUGUCUUAAACUUUUAAAACGUGGUCAAAUCGCAAAUUUGUUUAAAUAUCAACCCCAUCAUUCAGUCAACACUUGCUCAGCAGAGCAUAAACAUAAUGCGUUUUAGAACCCAACGUGCAAAGUACAAUAUGUAAAGUGUGCAACUCAAAAUUCCAGUGUGUUGUAUAAAAUGUGUUCUUAUGAACAGGAGUAUUUCAUUUUUAAAUUCCGUCUUUUUCUUGAAUUAAUACUAAAUUUUAAUGUAUUACAUAAACUUUAAAAGGGGAUACCUUUUAUAUUAAUUGCAUUAUACCUCUAUUUUAUUUUUGUUCUUAUGCAGUUAAACGAAGAACUUGUUAUGGUAAAAUGUUUUGAUAUUUAAGUUGAAAAUAAUUUUUUUAUUGAAUAUCUACAUGAAUAUGAUCAAUAUUGAAACCAAAAUAUUUCCAAUUAUAAAUAUUAUGCAAUUUUAAAAAUCAUGUUUUUAUAAGGAAUAAAAUAAUGAUUUACGAGAUAAUUUAUAAUUUUUCUUAUAGUUAAGAUAUUUUUUAUUGAUAGCUGAAGGUAUUACAUUCGGUUGAAUAAUCUAUAGAAAAUGCACGAGAAAAAAUAUUUAUGUAAUCAUACACAAAUAUCUGUAUUUAAAUAUAACUCAGUUUAACACAAACUUGUUAGUUAAUCUCUGUAAAGUCAAAUGACAGAUAAAGAAAAUUAACAUUGAGAGUGCACUCAUUGAUACCUCAGAACUCACAACUAUAGUUGAGUAAUAACUCAACUAUAUUCUUUGGUAAAUAUUAUGUGGAUAAAAUUGUUUGAUCAAGCAGAAAUAUUUCAAAGCGUAAAAAGAUUGAGUUAGUCGUACCAUCACAAAUUAAUGGAAAUAUUGGAUCAAAAAAGUAUAAAACCGUCCUCUCUAAUAAGCAGUCACAAUGAUAACCCAGUGUUCUAGCCUUAUCUUCUAAGACCAUGGUAUGAUUGGCAAACAGGUUAUUGUGAUCGCAAUUUAUGCAAAUAUUUUUAAUAAAAUACUCAAUAGUCGUCUGAAAACAAUGAUACUAGUAAUCGUUUUUACUAUUAGUUUGUGUUUGAUGCUCAUCGAAUUAAUACAAUUAUACACAUUACACAUAUUUUAAUGAAUAAUUAUCAAUAAUAUAAUAUAUAAAUUGGAAUACAUAAUUUAACUAAUAAUAUAAAAAUAGUUUUAAUUGUAAUUUGAAAUUUAUUAAUAGAAGAAAUACAAGAUAGCGGUAUCUUCAAAGACUGUAUGUUAAUUUUUAAUUGAUUCUUAAUACUUUUUAGUAUUAUAUUUUCCUUACAUUUUAAAAUACCAAACACAAAUUAACAAAAAUGAUUUGUAUUUUGCAAUUUUCUUGAAUAAUGAAUUUUAUAGGUUAAUAAUACAUAUACUUUAUGUUCAAUGUAAUUUAAUUAAAAAUUAUAAUUCUUUUUCAAGGCUAUGUGAGGAAACAGUUUUGGACUAAGGCAGUUCAAUUAAGUAAGUAUUUACAUAUUUGAAUGAUAAUUUAUUAUUAUUUAAAUGUCUAUAAAUUAUAAUGAUUGCUUUAUUUACCUAUAUUCUUUGAAAUAAUUUGUAUUAUAUAGGGAAUACUAAUUUAAACAUAGAUAAAAAGAUAGCGAACAAUAGUUAUAGCAUCGUGCGCGAGCUACUAUUAUAUAUAGAACUAAACCACGGCGAUACGCUAUUCUGUGUUAUCAUUUACGACUGGCAAGCCUUCAUUGGAGUUCAUUGAAGCCAUUUCCACAUCAAGGUGAAAAAACAUACAUUACCACACACCGGAGGUCCGGAAAAGAAAAAGAAGUAGAGAUACGUACAGAAAAACAGCCAUAUUAAUGGAGUAAUUAGGUACUUACACUAGAGGCAUGCGGGGUAUAGCAUUUGUACUCGGUAAAAUACGACAGACAGUUAAACACCUUCCCUCCUGAUUCUUCUCUCGAAUUACUUGGUUACGCGUAAGAAGAGUCCCGCUUCCCGACACGCAUAUUAACGUAAGUUUGGCUUUGCCUCAUCAUCGAUCGCUUACUUGUAUUUAAAUCUUGGCCAACGCCAAAAUCAUUCCCCAUGCCCUCUCGAUAUCCAAAAUCAACAUGAAUGAGCAAGGAAUACACGUAACAGGCGAAUAGGAUCCAGAUUAAGUUAGAAUCGCUGAGCUAGAAGAAAUUAGUAUAAGUAUUUCACACAACAGGCAGUAGUAGAAGUGGUUUUGGUAGCGAUGGUAAAGCAAAAAAUCGACAGGUACCGAACAUUCACGGACUAUACUUAAUAGGCGGAAGAUCUGGUUACAAUUGCAGUUUAGAGAGCACAGUCCGCAAAGAAGCCGACUAUGCAGAGUUCCGUGUUACAAAAAGUUGUAUACACUGAAUUUCGAAGUUAGAACUUUAAACAGCCUUACAGGCCAUCAUUAUUUUUUUAUUGAACUUAUAAAAUCAAAUUUAUUAGUUUUGUUUUGAUUUGAGGUAAUGUCAAGAUGCGGUCAACAAUGUCAUUUGUUUAUUUAUACGUAAAUAGAUGUCCAUUGCAUUAUGUAUUUUAAUCAAAGAUUCGAAGAUUACACCAAAAGAUAAUUUCCUGCUUAGAUUUUGUUUGUUAUUAUCAAAUUAAAUUAUUACUACACACAAAGGUAUUUUUGAACAUCAUUAUAAUCUCAUGCAUUAUAUUACUUUAACAAUUUAUAUGUUUUGCGUUUGCAUCGACAGGUGACAACUAUCGACGGUUUUCUUUAUUUUACGUCAAAUCUAAAACGGAUAUUUUUAUUGUUUGAAAUAUUUUUUUUAUUUAAACUUAUAUUUUAAACAACAAUGUAUGCCACUUAUAAUUAUCAUUAUUUUAUUUAAUGCAUUAUAUUUUAUUUUUAUUAAUUUUAAACUAAAAUUAUAGCUGCAUUCACAACGUCAUAAAAUGUCAUAAAUAUAUCUCUCCUAUUUAACAUCAGAUUUAAUAUUGUGAUUGCGUGUAUAAUAUGUUAGGCUGGGGGUAAUGAGUAGAUUAGAUUGAUGGUAAUUGAAACAUUUUGUUUUAGAUAAUUUGGGAGGGGGGAAUUUGUAUUAAAUAUAGACAUUUUGGAAGGAACUGGUACAUACCUAGCUCAUUUAACAUUCAAUUUUUGUCUCCGAAUUUUAGCAAAGGAACAGUUUAAAACCAUAUCAGGUAAGUUGAUAGCCAACAGGUAAUUUAAAAAAUUUAGAAAUAAUAUUGCCUAAUCUCGUAUGGAUACAAAGCAAAAUAAUAAAAUAACAAGAGAUAUUUAUAAUUUAAAUAAUAUUCUUGCAAAUACAAUUCAUUAAACAAUAAUCAUAGGGAUUUAAGAUUUUGUAAAACAAACAAUAUGUAUAAUCACGGCUCACGAGCCUGGACGACAUGAUGAUGAAAUACCUAUUUGGAAAUGAGCACAAACAUCACUAGUUACUAAUAAACAUAAUACUAACACUGAGUUAUUUUGUAAAAUAUAAAUUUAGGGGAGCUUUAGAUAAUUUUUAUAAGCUAAGCCCCAUAGUCAGUGGCACACAUAGAUGAGGGAUAGGGGGCAAAACUCCCUUCGAAAUGUCUCCCUUUACUACAUUUUUUUUUUAAUCAAAUUUUACAUUUAACAACAUAAUAUCUCAUACCAUGGAAUAAAAUAAAAUUUAAUUUCAUCAAUAAUAAUUUAUUCAAUAAUAAUAGUGAUAUUACUGUAUAAUAUUGAAAUCUGUUUCAGGCAAUGCUAAACGAUUCGCAAAAUAUCUCAGAAAAUUUAAUUCUUUCAGUAAGUGAAUAUUAUAUUGCGUUUAUUUAUUUCGUUAUUUGAAUUAGGUAUACAAAUUACUAAGCUAAACUUGGUCAGAAACAGAAAGGGUGUGGAAAAUAAGAUGUAGGAGACUGGCUAAAUUGGACGUACAAACGCAUGAUGCUAAGUUUCAAUCAGUUUAGAUGUAGUUUUAUUUGUCAAAAAUAUCAACGUACUAGACUAUAUAACCGAUGUAAUGAAAAAUUUAAAACUAGCAUUCCUGCAUCAAAAUAUUUUAAAUCCUCAUUCUAGUUCUGUUAUUUUAGAUUGAUAAAAACAUAUUAUUUUGCUUAUAAUAAAGUACUUUGAACCAAGUGAUGUGUAAUAGUGUUGAACUGUAAACUAUUAUUGGUUUAUAUCCACAAAAUCAUGAAACAGCGAGGCUUAUUAGUCUUAUAUAUGGCGACGUAAAUAUUUUGAAAAUUAACGUAAAAGAAGAAAGGGGAUUAAUAAGGAGAACCAAAUAAUCUCUACAUAGGCAUCUAUUUUUAAGUACCUGUAAGGAACUUCAACGUUUGUGUUUUUUUUUAGUUUUUGAAUGAAACGUAAGGGAUUUUGAUAAUAAUACUUAAUCCUAUCCACUUAAUUAGGUUGGUUGACUAUGAAUCCAGAUCAAAAUAUCAUGGCAAUAAUAUCGCGGUCUUUAUAUCGUGGUCAAAAUGUCGUGAAUACAAAAAUGUCGCCACAUAAUAAUUUAUUAUUAUUGUUUAUUAUAAACACAUUAAUAUGCACAUUGCACACUUAUCUAACAAUUUACGAAUAUGAAUAAUAUAAUUGUACAUAAUGGUGACUACACAAUACAAUAUAAUAAAAAAAACCCUAUACACAACUUAUUGUAUACAAAACGGUUACAAAAUGUACAACGUUUAACAUUUUCACUGCUAUUGGCGCAUUAGGUGCAUUUACUCGUUUAUAUUAAAAUCUAAUUAACUGAUAAAAAAAUUAAAGACGGCCAUUUUCACACGAAGGAUGGGCCACUAUUGUAGGUGAAAAGUUGAAAAGGUAGGAUAUAGAGGAGAAUUUAAUUUAUAUCUGUGUAUAACGACAAACCAUUGUUAUCAAAGGUUAUUCAGAGUGAAGUUCUUUUCAUACAUAUAAUUAAUUUUGUGUAGAGAAGAUAUUCCCAAUUUUAAUAUACUAUUGGAAAAUCAAAAACCAACUCGGUGCGCAUCUAUAAAACAUUUGAAAAAGUAGAUUUUUUUGUAUUGUGGAACAUUUUGUAUUCGUGACCUUUUUGCGCACAUAAAGUUUUUUACCAUGACAUUAUUUUUACCGUGGUAAUGCGGUUUUGGACAUUUAUGUUUUCUCAGGUGUUUAUCCUCAAAUCCUCUAUCAUCUUAUUUGAGUGUCUGACUCCAAAUCGGAUUUCUGGAUUUAAGUCUCUUAGAUGAAUGAUAUACGAUAUCUUUUUGUAUCGGUAAAUCUGGAUGGUUUAUCAAUUUAGAUUUUACCAUUCUCACCUACAUCUAUAGUCAUGCAAAAAUAUUACGUAUUUACACAAUAUUUUUUAAUAAUAUAUCACAGCAGUGUAUAUACAUUAUACACUCGCAACUAAAUAAACGCAAAAUUGAGUACCAGAAAUAAUGUGGAGAGUCAAUUAAACCUGUGUUGGAUCUAGUGAGGGGUUCAAAGAGUCCUCUGACCCACAGUUAUUUUUUUUUGAUAAAAUUGGCCUCUUUGGUCUCUAAAAAAGAAAUUUAAAUAAUUGACCUCUUGUAGAGAAAUAUUUUGAAAAAUUUAAGAAAUAAUGGGUCUGAUUACUAAUGGCCUGUCCAUUAUUUUUAUCUAUGAUUCUGCAGUGGUUAAAUGUAUAUCUUAAUAAUAAUAUAGUACCUUAAACUUACUCAAAUAGUUAAACUGUUAAACAAUUUUUAAUUUUAUAUAAUUUACAAACUUUAAAUUUUCACAUGGAAAAUAUUAUACACUAUCGAAAUUAAAGCACAUUACUUAUAAUAAGAUCAGAUUUGGAUAACAUUUUUUUUUUAAAUAUUUAGGAUAAAUAAUUAAAUAUGUAUGGAAAAUAGUAUUCAGAAUAUGUAUUUUUAUCAAAUCUAUACGAUAGUAUUUUCAAAAUACAUUUUUAUAAAAAUGUAAGGUAUGUUCGGAUGAUUCAAAGGAAACUAAAUUAUAUUAUAUUAAAUGAUGAUUAUGCAUUAAAUAAAAUACAUAAAAUACUAGCCAUACCAUGUGGUCUUAAAUAAUUGUGUGUAUCUCUCCGUUAUGAUAAUAUUAACAUUACAAAAUUUAGUCGAUAGGUAUAUACUUAUUAUAUUAACUUACGUAGACAUUUAUAGCAAUAUUGAAAAUGAUCAUCUUGUAGUUAAAUGUUUGUUUAUUUUUUUUAUUUUAGAUUUUGAUAU
Cinara cedri is the source of this 6413-nucleotide non-coding RNA. NCBI's taxonomy places the organism in Eukaryota, Metazoa, Arthropoda, Insecta, Hemiptera, Aphididae. The record is from the annotation of a GenBank genome assembly.